CAGCCCUUGACAUGGGACGUUUGACCGGGAGAGAUCCCGGUCUUCAGUUCGGCUGGCGUCCACACAGGUGCUGCAUGGCUGUCGUCAGCUCGUGUCGUGAGAUGUUGGGUUAAGUCCCGCAACGAGCGCAACCCUCAUCUUCAGUUGCCAUCAGGUCAAGCUGGGCACUCUGAAGGAACUGCCGGUGACAAGCCGGAGGAAGGCGGGGAUGACGUCAAGUCCUCAUGGCCCUUAUGGGCUGGGCUACACACGUGCUACAAUGGCGGUGACAGAGGGAUGCGAAGGGGCGACCCUUGGCCAAUCUCAAAAAGCCGUCUCAGUUCGGAUUGUUCUCUGCAACUCGAGAGCAUGAAGCUGGAAUCGCUAGUAAUCGCGGAUCAGCACGCCGCGGUGAAUACGUUCCC
RNAcentral lists this ribosomal RNA (404 nucleotides) under uncultured bacterium. Its description in RNAcentral is "bacterial SSU rRNA". It matches the Rfam family "Bacterial small subunit ribosomal RNA", at positions 975 to 1375 of the family's 1533-position model. The record is from RNAcentral.